RNAcentral lists this transfer RNA (73 nucleotides) under Ornithorhynchus anatinus (platypus). It matches the Rfam family "tRNA". Rfam says of the family: Transfer RNA (tRNA) molecules are approximately 80 nucleotides in length. Their secondary structure includes four short double-helical elements and three loops (D, anti-codon, and T loops). The record is from Rfam by way of RNAcentral. Lineage: Eukaryota; Metazoa; Chordata; Mammalia; Monotremata; Ornithorhynchidae.
AGCAGGUUGGCUUAGUGGAUAGAGCACGGACCUGAAAGUCGGAAGGACCUGGGUUCUAAUCCCGGAUCUGCCA